GUGACCCCAGGUCAGGCGGGACUACCCGCUGAGUUUAAGCAUAUCAAUAAG
RNAcentral lists this ribosomal RNA (51 nucleotides) under Mikaniopsis sp. KAD343. RNAcentral describes it as "partial 25S ribosomal RNA". The record is from RNAcentral. Lineage: Eukaryota; Viridiplantae; Streptophyta; Magnoliopsida; Asterales; Asteraceae.